This 368-nucleotide long non-coding RNA is filed under the name Brassica napus (rape). RNAcentral describes it as "long non-coding RNA (BNAP_LNC023398)". The record is from RNAcentral. Lineage: Eukaryota; Viridiplantae; Streptophyta; Magnoliopsida; Brassicales; Brassicaceae.
UCUAAUAGGAAAAUGAAAAACACUAUUCUUUACAAACGUGUUAAUAAUAUGGAACAAAAAAGCUAAAAAGUAGUUAAAUGUUUUCUCUGCCAGAUUUUUCCUGUAAGGUUUAAUAAUUGUUUUAACUUAGACGUCUUUUGUCUAAACGUAGUACGUAUACGUUAUAAAUUAGAUGUUUUGUAAUGUAUUUUUUUCUUUAACAGGUACUGGCAAGACGAGAGGUUAUAAAAUAAUAAGUAAUAAAAAUAAACGUAAUGAAGACUUUUGUUUUCUCUUUUGCAAGAUCCGAUGUAUUUCCACUGAGGAUCAAUUGUUUUAUAUAUCAUCUCCCUUGAUUGAUGUAUAAUCCACUUCAUUCGUACCCAAAC